RNAcentral lists this ribosomal RNA (257 nucleotides) under uncultured bacterium. RNAcentral's name for it is "partial 16S ribosomal RNA". It matches the Rfam family "Bacterial small subunit ribosomal RNA", at positions 524 to 776 of the family's 1533-position model. The record is from RNAcentral.
UACGUAGGGGGCAAGCGUUGUCCGGAAUUAUUGGGCGUAAAGAGCGUGUAGGCGGUCCGGUAAGUCGGCUGUGAAAUUUCGGGGCUCAACCCCGAACUUGCAGUGGGUACGGGCAGACUAGAGUGUGGUAGGGGAGACUGGAAUUCCUGGUGUAGCGGUGAAAUGCGCAGAUAUCAGGAGGAACACCGAUGGCGAAGGCAGGUCUCUGGGGCCAUAACUGACGCUGAGAAGCGAAAAGCCAUGGGGGAGCGAACAGG